AAUGAUCAACAACUUUGAUACCUCAAACAGACUCGAUGACUCAACUUAUAUAAGACAAACUCACGUGCCUCCUCACACCGUCCUACUACUCGACAGGCCAUGUGCAGCAUGACAGCUCACGCUAACCUCUUUGAUUCCUUAUUCCUCUUAUACUCGUUCUCCAACCGAAAGAUGACAUCUGUAGCUCUCUCAUUGUAGAGCUGUUUUGUCUCUCCUUUUGUAUUGGAAGAGGACAGGUGGACGUCUCGCCUCAUACGUAUCAAUACCCGCACCAUCGAAAUUGACCUUGUCCUCAAGGUCAAAGCCUGGAAACUUUUCUUUGAUCGCAGACUUCCACUCCCAAGAACAAUCAUGAACCGGCAUUCCCAACCACUUAAUGAGUAACUCUGCCUGUCCUGUUGUUGCGUUGACACGUUCUGCGAAUAUCUUCUCUGGUUCUACCAUCAGCACUCCAUCUCGAUUGAGUUGUACGGGCAGUGGAGCCACCACUGCUGUCUCCCCAAUCGCUAGCUUAAGUUGCGACACAUGAAACGUUGGGUGGAUCUUAGUAUCCGUUGGAAGCUUGAGCUUAUAUGCAACUUGGCCCACACGGCCUUCCACUUCUAACGGACCAUAGAACCUUGCUGAGAGCUUCUCGUUCAUCCUGCGAGCUAAUGAUUGUUGUCUGUAGGGACGGAGCUUAACGUAAACCCACUCUCCCACUGCAAAAGUUACUUCACGGCGAGAUUUCUCAGCCCUCAACUUCAUUAUCUGCUGAGCUCUAUGCAAGUGUUCUUUAAGCAGUAUCAAUGUUGCAUCUCUAUCUUUCAACUGACCUUCCAACUCCGCAUUUCCCGUUGAACCAGUCUCAUACUUCAGUAGUGUUGGAGGGUCUCGACCGUAGAGUGCGCGGAACAGGGUUAUCUUGAUAGCUGAGUGAAAAGAAGUGUUAUAACUCAACUCUGCCCAUGCUAGGAACUUCGCCCACGUUCUCGGUUUAUCUCCCGCGAAGCAACGUAGGUAGAUCUCCAUGCUUCUGUUCGUUACUUCGGUCUGACCAUCCGUCUGAGGGUGAUAUGCGGUACUCAAGCAAAGUUUAGUGCCUGACAAGGGGAACAGUUCCUUCCAGAACAAACUUGUAAACACCUUGUCUCGAUCCGAGACAAUAGUGCGUGGAAAGCCAUGUAGUUUCACCACUUCUUGAAUGAACAACAAUGCGAUAUCAGUAGCUGAGAAGGGGUGACUGAGGCUGAUGAAAUGACUGUAUUUGGUCAACCGAUCCACCACGACUAGCACUGAAUUCACCCCCAUGGAGCGUGGUAGACCUUCCACGAAAUCAAUGGAGAUAUCUUCCCAAACCUUAUCUGGGACUGGUAAAGGCUGGAGUAACCCUCCUGGAGCCAAAGUGGAAUAUUUCUGACGUUGACACACUGCGCAAGCAGCCACAAAAUGGCGUAUGUCCGUCAUCAUCCCUGUCCAAUAGAACAGUUCCCCCAAUCCGCUUAUGAGUUUUGAGAACCCCUCCGUGGCCCCCCAUCUUCCCACUGUGAUACUCCUCCAUAAUGAAUCCCACCAGUGUCGACCCUUUUGGUAUAACAAGCUUCCCAUUGCGAAGUAACCUCUCUUGAACCAUAGAAUACUCCUUCCAUUUAUCAGAUCCGUUGGCUAACUCCUCAAUGAUCAGAUGCAACUCAGGAUCGUGGUCUACUUCUUCUGCUAUCUUCUCCAGUUGCAGCACCGUGGAUACCGAGACAGCAUAUAAUUCAGUCACUGCCAUCUUUCUCGAGAGUGCGUCAGCCGCCUUAUUCUCCAGGCCCGGCUUAUACACAAUGUCGAAAUCAAACCCAAGCAGCUUUGUCAACCAACGCUGAUACUCCAAAUUCACUUCACGUUGUUCCAUCAAAAACCGCAGACUCUUUUGAUCCGUGCGCACUACGAACUUCCUCCCAAUGAGGUAGUGACGCCACUUCUGUAUGGCGAACACGAUGGCCAUGAGUUCACGCUCGUAGACGGAUUUUGCCCGUUGCCUAUCAGUCAGAGCUUGGCUAAAGUAAGCGAUGGGUUGCUGUCCUUGCAUCAGAACGGCUCCCAACCCUAUUCCUGAAGCAUCAGACUCGACAAUGAAUUGGGCGAUGAAGUCAGGCAUAGUCAAGACCGGUACUGACGACAUCGCCUGUUUCAGAGCCUCAAAGGCUGUGGUGGCUUCCGCUCCCCACUGGAACUGAUCCUUGCGAAGCAGCACUGUGAGUGGCCACGCAAUACUCCCGUAACUGCGCACAAACUUUCGGUAAUAUCCCGUCAAGCCUAAGAACCCUCGCAGAUUCUUGAUAUUCCUAGGAAUUGGCCAAUCUACCAUUGCUCUGAUCUUGUCAUCAUCAGCAGAUACUCCUUUCUCCGAGAUGACGUGACCCAAGUACUCCACUGUGGAGCUGCCGAACUUGCAUUUUUUGAAGUUUGCAUACAGCUUCUGCUCCUGCAGGACUUGCAACACCGUUUCUAAAUGUCCCUGAUGCUCUUCCGCAGUCUUGCUGUAGACUAGGAUGUCAUCAAAGAAGACUAGCACAAACUUCCGAAGGAACGGUCGAAAGAUUUUAUUCAUGAGGGACUGAAACGUAGCAGGCGCAUUCGAUAACCCAAACGGCAUUACUAGGAACUUGUAAUGGCCGUCGUGAGUGCGGAAUGCUGUCUUGGGCACGUCUGAUUGCUUCACCCGUAUCUGAUAAUAGCCUGAGCCAAGAUCAAGUUUCGAGAACACCUUAGCUCCAUGUAGUUCGUCGAGGAGUUGAUCGAUCAUCGGGAUCGGGUACUUAUCCGCCACUGUCACGCGGUUGAGUGCCCUGUAGUCGACACAAAACCGCCAGCUACCGUCAUUCUUUCGGACCAACAGCACCGGACUAGAGAACGGACUACUGCUCUCUUGAAUAAUGCCUGCAGCCAACAUAGAAGUGAUAUGCUUCUCGAUCUCUGCCUUCUGUGUCUGCGGGUACCGGAAUGGUCUGACGCUGACUGACUUAGCUCCAUCCUCCAAGUUGACCGCGUGCUCCUUCCCACGCGAAGGAGGUAAGCCCGUUGGUUCCUCGAACACCUGAGCAUAACGGUCAAGAACCNNNNNNNNNNNNNNNNNNNNNNNNNNNNNNNNACCGCUCUCCAUUGCCCAUCCAUAGCCACAGGAACUGACGCCUCAUCCUUUUGUAUUCCUCCAUACUCCACAAUCAUUCCUUCGCCCUCCUUUCCCAGUGCUUUCCAUAGCGACUUAAGCGACACUGCUGCAGAGUGGAGACUGAGAUCGCCUUGUAUUGUCACCCAAUCUCCCUCCAACAAGAUCUUUAUCCACUGAAACUUCCAGUUAACACUCAUCUCACCCAAGGUAUCUAGCCACUGGACUCCCAAAAUGACAUCUGCAAUGCCCAGUUCUAAUGGUAAGAAACUGGUACAGAUCGUACAUGAUGGAAGCACCAGAUCAACCUCUUCAAUCACUCCUCUGCCUUGAACUUUGACUCCUCCUGCGACUAAGACCCCAUACUUCGCCGUACUACAUGUCUCCAACUUCAAACGCUUAACUAACCCCUCAGAGAUGAAAUUGUGGGAAGCACCGCUAUCAAUCAGCACCACCACCUCUUCUGUGCCGAUCUUCCCCUUCAAUUUCAUUGUCUUCGGAGAUGUCAGCCCUACCACGGAGUUGAUUGAAACCUCUGCCACAACCGCUUUAACCUCCUCCUCCACCUCUAGCUCGCAAGGAUCCUCCACUAGCUCUGUCUCAGAACCAUCGUCACGAGUGACUAACACUGUCAGCUCCGGUUUGGAACAAAGGUGAUUACGAUGCCACUUCUCAUCGCACUUAAAGCAUAGUCCCUCCGCCUGCCAUUUCGCCACUUCCUCCGGUGUUAGACGCCGAAACGGUGGUUUCAAACGCCCAUGGGUCGUCGUCGCGCGGCCCCCGCUUCGAUUAUUAGGGUUUGUCGAAACUGGGCCAGGCUUCGAACGAUUUGGUGUUGUAGUUUGGACCCCCGAGUUGGGCUUUGGUGACGUGGUCGAAAGGCCCAAACUAUUCGAGCGUCCUCCCUUAGGCGGCGAUGACUCGCCCUCGCCGGACCAGUCCUCUACCUUCGUCGCCGUCUCCAUCAGUUUUUGCAAUCCGCGCGGUUCAAAUAACUUCACGCCGGCGCGGAUCUUCGUAUUCAACCCAACGAUGAAUGCCAGUUCCAAGACCUCCUCCGUUAACUCAGGUGCGUUCAUGGCGAGGUUUUUGAAAUCGCGACAGUAUUCCCGGACGGUGCCAGUUUGUCGCAAUGUCAGUAACCUUUCGCCGGCGGAGGUGUCCUUGUUGGACGAGUACUGCUCCAGUACCCGAUAUUUCAUCUGGUUCCAGCUACGAAAUGGGUUCCGAUCACGCUCCCAACGGUACCACAGCAAGGCCUCACCGUCGAAGCACGUCCUGACGUUGCGUAGCUUCUCCUCCUCCGAGUACUCGCGGAUCUCAAAGUACUGUUCGACCUUGAGAACCCAGCUGUCAGCGUUCUCCCCGUCGAACAGAGGCAGCUCCAACCUCCGUGUCAGAGACCGUCCUCUGUCGUCGUCGUAGUCAUCGUGAAACCGAGAUCCACGCCUCUGUGCAUGUCGGACCCCUGAUUCAUCGCCGCGACUGUCGAUCGGAGUUUGGUCCACCAGAAGGCUCUGCUCACCGUCCUCCAGGUGUUUGUGUUGACCGAUCUUGCCCUCAGAUCGAGUCUCGUCACUGACGUGGCUCUUACCGCGGGCUUUCUCCAUCAACCUCCGUUGUUCUUCCUCCUUGGCCUUCGCCUUCUGCUCCCAACGAGCAAAGAUGCUGUUAAGCUGUCCUUGCAUCGUUUGAAGCGUUUGUUCCAUCGAGUCUACCCUUCCCAUCGUUGGACCCAUCUCGGUUACAACAACCCUGCUCAUCUGUUGUUGCAACUGGUCCAUGUUAACCUCCGUAUCGUUCUUCUUUGGUGCCAUGAGUCCUGAUCGUCACUGCUCUGAUACCAAAUGAUAGACUUUUGCUAUCGCUUAGUGACAAGAACAAUGUAAAUAAGGACAAAUACUGAUAUUAUUGAUCACUCAAGGUACAGAUGAGUUUUUCUCGGGAGUUUCUCUCUCUCCCCUUAACAAUGAUCAACAACUUUGAUACCUCAAACAGACUCGAUGACUCAACUUAUAUAAGACAAACUCACGUGCCUCCUCACACCGUCCUACUACUCGACAGGCCAUGUGCAGCAUGACAGCUCACGCUAACCUCUUUUAUUCCUUAUUCCUCUUAUACUCGUUCUCCGACCGAAAGCUGACAUCUGUAGCUCUCUCAUUGUAGAGCCGUUUUGUCUCUCCUUUUGUAUUGGAAGAGGACAGGUGGACGUCUCGCCUCAUACGUAUCAGUUUCCUGAAGAGAAACACAAUAAAACAUUUUCAGAAGGCUAAGGGAGAGUGAAAGAGUUAGUUUCAGUAGAGUGUCAAGAAAC
Molecule: long non-coding RNA, 5450 nt
Filed under: Brassica napus (rape)
Lineage: Eukaryota; Viridiplantae; Streptophyta; Magnoliopsida; Brassicales; Brassicaceae
Description: long non-coding RNA (BNAP_LNC025799)
Source: RNAcentral